GACGAACGCUGGCGGCGUGCUUAACACAUGCAAGUCGAACGAUGAACCCGGGGCUUGCUCCGGCGGAUUAGUGGCGAACGGGUGAGUAACACGUGAGUAACCUGCCCUUGACUCUGGGAUAACUGCUAGAAAUGGUAGCUAAUACCGGAUACGACCCUCGGUGGCAUCACCAGGGGGUGGAAAGAAUUUCGGUCAAGGAUGGACUCGCGGCCUAUCAGCUAGUUGGUGAGGUAACGGCUCACCAAGGCGACGACGGGUAGCCGGCCUGAGAGGGUGAUCGGCCACACUGGGACUGAGACACGGCCCGGACUCCUACAGGAGGCAGCAGUGGGGAAUAUUGCACAAUGGGCGCAAGCCUGAUGCAGCAACGCCGCGGGAGGGAUGACGGCCUUCGGGUUGUAAACCUCUUUUAGUAGGGAAGAAGCGAAAGUGACGGUACCUGCAGAAAAAGCACCGGCUAACUACGUGCCAGCAGCCGCCGUAA
RNAcentral lists this ribosomal RNA (484 nucleotides) under uncultured bacterium. RNAcentral describes it as "partial 16S ribosomal RNA". It matches the Rfam family "Bacterial small subunit ribosomal RNA", at positions 28 to 523 of the family's 1533-position model. The record is from RNAcentral.